UGGUUUAUGUCAGCAUUUAUCUUGAAACAGUGGUUGCAUCUGUUGUCAUUUGUGAUUUUAAUUCUGUUGAGAUGGGAUGGAACUAAACAAUGGCCGAAACGUAGACGAUUGAUGAUAGUGAUAAAUUUUCUAUUGUAAUAUUUGAAUUUGCUGUACCAAGGUGUCACUGGUAAUGAUCCUGAAAUAAUAACAGAUGCUGAUAUGGGGGAACCUACAACUAACUGAGAAAGCUGUGCAGGAUAUAAAAUAUUUUUAAGCACAAUACUAUUACUGGAAGAUAAUUCCUUUAUACAAAAUCUUUCUGCCAGUUGCAAACGUCUUAGAGACAAUGGAGGUCGGACCUCAUACACUGAUGGCCUCACAUUUACACUUACCUGAGUUGGAUAGUGAUAGCUGCCCAUCGGGUCAUCAUGGACUUUCCACUCACAGAGAGGAGCUAUUCGGGGACUAACUAAUGUUAUAUCUAUUGCUGAUGCCUGCCUGUUUGAUGAUUGAAUGGUGGUUGGACUACCAUCAUUUAACACACAUAAGUCAAGUUCAUCUAUGAGAUUGUAUAUGUUAUUACCUCUACUAUUGUUUGUAUGACAACCAAACAAAAUAUGAUGUGCAUUAAAAUCACCCAUAAUGAGACAUGGCUUAGGAGCACUAAGUAGAACUUUUUUCAGUUUGUUGGUAUCAAAUCUUCCAUUAGGAGGACAAUACACACAUAGUAUGUUUAAUUUGCCUAUGGAUGUUUCUAUUGCAAUACAUAUAUUCUGAACUGAUUCAUAAAAAGUAGUAGUUAUGAUAUUAUAUUUAAAAUUUUCUUUUAUUAAAAUACCCACUCCAUUGUGUGUAUUUACUGAGUUUUUGAAUAUGAAAUUAUAGGAUGUAAAUUUAGGAAUUUUACUGUUACUUUUAAGCCAUGUCUCAUUAAUGAGACAGAUAUCAAUAUUUUGUUCAUUCAUGUAUUUUUGCAACAGAGCUUUUUUACUCUGUAAGCUUUGUAUAUUAAACUGGGCUAUAUUUAAGUAUGUAUUCAUUAAAUUAAAUUUGACAACAA
Long non-coding RNA from Achroia grisella, 1042 nucleotides. RefSeq lists it as uncharacterized. The transcript has 3 exons. The record is from RefSeq and is a predicted model, not a curated record. NCBI's taxonomy places the organism in Eukaryota, Metazoa, Arthropoda, Insecta, Lepidoptera, Pyralidae.